This 526-nucleotide ribosomal RNA is filed under the name uncultured bacterium. RNAcentral describes it as "bacterial SSU rRNA". It matches the Rfam family "Bacterial small subunit ribosomal RNA", at positions 9 to 517 of the family's 1533-position model. The record is from RNAcentral.
GAGUUUGAUCCUGGCUCAGGAUGAACGCUGGCGGCGUGCCUAAUACAUGCAAGUCGAGCGAACAGAUAAGGAGCUUGCUCCUUUGACGUUAGCGGCGGACGGGUGAGUAACACGUGGGUAACCUACCUAUAAGACUGGAAUAACUCCGGGAAACCGGGGCUAAUGCCGGAUAAUAUUUAGAACCGCAUGGUUCUAAAGUGAAAGAUGGUUUUGCUAUCACUUAUAGAUGGACCCGCGCCGUAUUAGCUAGUUGGUGGGGUAAUGGCUUACCAAGGCAACGAUACGUAGCCGACCUGAGAGGGUGAUCGGCCACACUGGAACUGAGACACGGUCCAGACUCCUACGGGAGGCAGCAGUAGGGAAUCUUCCGCAAUGGGCGAAAGCCUGACGGAGCAACGCCGCGUGAGUGAUGAAGGUCUUCGGAUCGUAAAACUCUGUUAUUAGGGAAGAACAAAUGUGUAAGUAACUGUGCACGUCUUGACGGUACCUAAUCAGAAAGCCACGGCUAACUACGUGCCAGCAGCCG